This 464-nucleotide ribosomal RNA is filed under the name uncultured bacterium. RNAcentral's name for it is "partial 16S ribosomal RNA". It matches the Rfam family "Bacterial small subunit ribosomal RNA", at positions 338 to 795 of the family's 1533-position model. The record is from RNAcentral.
CCUACGGGAGGCAGCAGUGGGGAAUAUUGCGCAAUGGGCGAAAGCCUGACGCAGCGACGCCGCGUGAGGGAUGAAAGUCUUCGGAUCGUAAACCUCUGUCAGCAGGGAAGAACGGUCACUGUGCUAAUCAGCAGUGAAUUGACGGUACCUGCAAAGGAAGCAACGGCUAACUCCGUGCCAGAAGCCGCGGUAAUACGGAGGGUGCGAGCGUUAAUCGGAAUUACUGGGCGUAAAGCGCUCGUGGGCGGUAUGUCAAGGCAAGGGUGAAAUCCCCGCGCUCAACGUGGGAACUGCCUUUGAAACUGGCAAACUGGAGUGUGUUAGAGGAUAGUGGAAUUCCAGGUGUAGGAGUGAAAUCCGUAGAUAUCUGGAGGAACAUCAGUAGCGAAGGCGACUAUCUGGCACAUAACUGACGCUGAGAGCGAAAGCGUGGGUAGCAAACAGGAUUAGAUACCCGGGUAGUC